Long non-coding RNA from Triticum aestivum (bread wheat), 770 nucleotides. RefSeq lists it as uncharacterized. The record is from RefSeq and is a predicted model, not a curated record. Lineage: Eukaryota; Viridiplantae; Streptophyta; Magnoliopsida; Poales; Poaceae. The transcript is spliced from 3 exons.
CUACGCGUGCCCAUCCCCUGUUUUGCAUCUCGCCGCCCCUCCUCCAAAUCCCCAUGGCCGCCGCCCCCUCCUCCCAAUCCCCCAUGGUCGCCGCCUCCCGUCCGGUGCUGCCGCACCACACAGCCGGCGGUUGACCCCACACCGCUGCUGCUCCCACUCCUCCAGCGCCAUCUCCCCCCAUCGACCGCCGCCCUGUCGCCCCGUCGCCGUCCAGCCAAUCGCCUCCGUCGCCGACCAACGCUGCACCGUCGAUGUCCAGCCACCCAUCGUGCGCCCUCCACCCAUUCUAGCGGCGCCUUCAUCCCCGACGACCGGCGCCCCUCGCAGUCUCGUAGUACAACGCCCCUCGGAGUCUCGUAGUACAACGCCCCUCGGAGACUCGCAAUACAGGGCCACUUCGAUCCCCAUCGACCGGCGCUUCCAGCGCCGCCCCAUCGACGUCCAGCAGUCCCCCUCGUUGUCCAGCCACCCCAGCGCCUCCGGAUCGACUGGCGCGUCCUCGUCUUCCAGAUCCGACUCACUACCUCGCCCUCUGUUUCCCUUCCAGUCCUGCGCCUGCAAACCGACCAAAAAAGAAGGCAAAAUCAGGACGGUGUACUUCUACGAAGGCCAAGUUUGAGGAGUGAUAGUGUUGCACCGCAGCCCUCUCCAUUGACAGUCCAGAAUGGAAAGAUUAAGUGUCCUUGUGCUAAAUGUCGAAACUAUGAGAGCAAGAACAGGGAUGAUGUAGAGUUAGAUCUCUCUCAUUUUGGUUUCAAGCGGAAUUAUAC